This 441-nucleotide ribosomal RNA is filed under the name uncultured Allobrachymonas sp. RNAcentral's name for it is "bacterial SSU rRNA". It matches the Rfam family "Bacterial small subunit ribosomal RNA", at positions 936 to 1382 of the family's 1533-position model. Lineage: Bacteria; Pseudomonadati; Pseudomonadota; Betaproteobacteria; Burkholderiales; Comamonadaceae. The record is from RNAcentral.
AUGAUGUGGUUUAAUUCGAUGCAACGCGAAAACCUUACCCACCUUUGACAUGGCAGGAAUCCCGAAGAGAUUUGGGAGUGCUCGAAAGAGAACCUGCACACAGGUGCUGCAUGGCUGUCGUCAGCUCGUGUCGUGAGAUGUUGGGUUAAGUCCCGCAACGAGCGCAACCCUUGCCAUUAGUUGCUACGAAAGGGCACUCUAAUGGGACUGCCGGUGACAAACCGGAGGAAGGUGGGGAUGACGUCAAGUCCUCAUGGCCCUUAUGGGUAGGGCUUCACACGUCAUACAAUGGUCGGUACAGAGGGUUGCCAACCCGCGAGGGGGAGCUAAUCCCACAAAGCCGAUCGUAGUCCGGAUCGCAGUCUGCAACUCGACUGCGUGAAGUCGGAAUCGCUAGUAAUCGUGGAUCAGCAUGUCACGGUGAAUACGUUCCCGGGUCUU